UGCAAGUCGAGCGGGGAAGGUUGCUUCGGUAACUGACCUAGCGGCGGACGGGUGAGUAAUGCUUAGGAAUCUGCCUAUUAGUGGGGGACAACAUUCCGAAAGGAAUGCUAAUACCGCAUACGUCCUACGGGGGAAAGCAGGGGAUCUUCGGACCUUGCGCUAAUAGAUGAGCCUAAGUCGGAUUAGCUAGUUGGUGGGGUAAAGGCCUACCAAGGCGACGAUCUGUAGCGGGUCUGAGAGGAUGAUCCGCCACACUGGGACUGAGACACGGCCCAGACUCCUACGGGAGGCAGCAGUGGGGAAUAUUGGACAAUGGGCGGAAGCCUGAUCCAGCCAUGCCGCGUGUGUGAAGAAGGCCUUUUGGUUGUAAAGCACUUUAAGCGAGGAGGAGGCUCCUUUAGUUAAUACCUAAAGUGAGUGGACGUUACUCGCAGAAUAAGCACCGGCUAACUCUGUGCCAGCAGCCGCGGUAAUACAGAGGGUGCGAGCGUUAAUCGGAUUUACUGGGCGUAAAGCGUGCGUAGGCGGCUUUUUAAGUCGGAUGUGAAAUCCCUGAGCUUAACUUAGGAAUUGCAUUCGAUACUGGAAAGCUAGAGUAUGGGAGAGGAUGGUAGAAUUCCAGGUGUAGCGGUGAAAUGCGUAGAGAUCUGGAGGAAUACCGAUGGCGAAGGCAGCCAUCUGGCCUAAUACUGACGCUGAGGUACGAAAGCAUGGGGAGCAAACAGGAUUAGAUACCCUGGUAGUCCAUGCCGUAAACGAUGUCUACUAGCCGUUGGGGCCUUUGAGGCUUUAGUGGCGCAGCUAACGCGAUAAGUAGACCGCCUGGGGAGUACGGUCGCAAGACUAAGACUCAAAUGAAUUGACGGGGGCCCGCACAAGCGGUGGAGCAUGUGGUUUAAUUCGAUGCAACGCGAAGAACCUUACCUGGCCUUGACAUACUAGGAACUUUCCAGAGAUGGAUUGGUGCCUUCGGGAACUUAGAUACAGGUGCUGCAUGGCUGUCGUCAGCUCGUGUCGUGAGAUGUUGGGUUAAGUCCCGCAACGAGCGCACCCUUUUCCUUAUUUGCCAGCGGGUUAAGCCGGGAACUUUAAGGAUACUGCCAGU
Molecule: ribosomal RNA, 1105 nt
Filed under: Acinetobacter sp.
Lineage: Bacteria; Pseudomonadati; Pseudomonadota; Gammaproteobacteria; Moraxellales; Moraxellaceae
Description: bacterial SSU rRNA
Rfam family: Bacterial small subunit ribosomal RNA
Source: RNAcentral